AGAGUUGAUCCUGGCUCAGAACGUACGCUGGCGGCACGCCUAACACAUGCAAGUCGAACGAAGUAGCAAUACUUAGUGGCAGACGGGUGAGUAACAUGUAGGUAUCUACCCUAUGGCCUGGAAUAACACGAGGAAACUUGUGCUAAUACCGGAUAAGUCUUUACGGAGAAAGCUUUAUGCACCAUUGGAUGAGCCCGCACUUGAUUAGUUUGUUGGUAGGGUAAUGGCCUACCAAGACUAUGAUCAAUAGCUGAUUUGAGAGGAUGAUCAGCCACAUUGGGACUGAGACACGGCCCAAACUCCUACGGGAGGCAGCAGUGGGGAAUCUUGCACAAUGGAGGAAACUCUGAUGCAGCGAUGCCGCGUGAGUGAAGAAGGCCUUUGGGUUGUAAAGCUCUUUCGUCGGGGAAGAAAAUGACUGUACCCGAAUAAGAAGGUCCGGCUAACUUCGUGCCAGCAGCCGCGGUAAUACGAAGGGACCUAGCGUAGUUCGGAAUUACUGGGCUUAAAGAGUUCGUAGGUGGUUGAAAAAGUUGGUGGUGAAAUCCCAGAGCUUAACUCUUGGAACUGCCAUCAAAACUUUUCAGCUAGAGUAUGAUAGAGGAAAGCAGAAUUUCUAGUGUAGAGGGUGAAA
This 634-nucleotide ribosomal RNA is filed under the name uncultured bacterium. RNAcentral describes it as "bacterial SSU rRNA". It matches the Rfam family "Bacterial small subunit ribosomal RNA", at positions 8 to 686 of the family's 1533-position model. The record is from RNAcentral.